GCCUCGGUGGUGUAGUGGUAGAGCACGCGUCGCCGGACAGGAUGAAAUGCGGAUUCGAUUCCUGGCUGAGGCC
Parelaphostrongylus tenuis is the source of this 73-nucleotide non-coding RNA. The record is from the annotation of a GenBank genome assembly. Lineage: Eukaryota; Metazoa; Nematoda; Chromadorea; Rhabditida; Metastrongylidae.